This 1024-nucleotide ribosomal RNA is filed under the name Phialocephala sp. PDKA18. RNAcentral's name for it is "eukaryotic LSU rRNA". The stretch from base 456 to 1024 matches the Rfam family "Eukaryotic large subunit ribosomal RNA", at positions 1 to 578 of the family's 3401-position model. The record is from RNAcentral. Lineage: Eukaryota; Fungi; Ascomycota; Leotiomycetes; Helotiales; Mollisiaceae.
GAAACAGCGGUUAGGNGCUUACACCCACCCGUGUUUACAUACUAUUGUUGCUUUGGCGGGCCGUGGCCUCCACUGCGGGCUCUGCUCGUGUGUGCCCGCCAGAGGACCAAACUCUGAAUGUUAGUGAUGUCUGAGUACUAUCUAAUAGUUAAAACUUUCAACAACGGAUCUCUUGGUUCUGGCAUCGAUGAAGAACGCAGCGAAAUGCGAUAAGUAAUGUGAAUUGCAGAAUUCAGUGAAUCAUCGAAUCUUUGAACGCACAUUGCGCCCUGUGGUAUUCCGCAGGGCAUGCCUGUUCGAGCGUCAUUUAACCACUCACGCCUAGCGUGGUGUUGGGGCACGCGGUCUCGCGGCCCUCAAAAUUAGUGGCGGCGCCGGUGGGCUCUAAGCGUAGUACAUACUCCCGCUAUAGAGUUCCCCCGGUGGCUCGCCAGAACCCCCAAUUUUUUACAGGUUGACCUCGGAUCAGGUAGGGAUACCCGCUGAACUUAAGCAUAUCAAUAAGCGGAGGAAAAGAAACCAACAGGGAUUACCUCAGUAACGGCGAGUGAAGCGGUAACAGCUCAAAUUUGAAAGCUGCCAACAGGCCGCGUUGUAAUUUGUAGAAGCUGCUUUGGGUGUCGGCCCGGUCUAAGUUCCUUGGAACAGGACGUCAUAGAGGGUGAGAAUCCCGUAUGUGAUCGGUGCCGUUGCCCGUGUAAUGCGCUUUCGACGAGUCGAGUUGUUUGGGAAUGCAGCUCAAAAUGGGUGGUAAAUUUCAUCUAAAGCUAAAUAUUGGCCAGAGACCGAUAGCGCACAAGUAGAGUGAUCGAAAGAUGAAAAGCACUUUGGAAAGAGAGUUAAACAGUACGUGAAAUUGUUGAAAGGGNAAGCGCUUGCAACCAGACUUGCGGGCGGUCGAUCAUCCGAGGUUCUCCCCGGUGCACUCGAUCGUUCUCAGGCCAGCAUCGGUUUCCGGGGUGGGAUAAAGGCGGUGGGAAUGUGGCUNUUCGGAGUGUUAUAGCCCACCGUGCAAUGCCGCCAC